Molecule: unclassified non-coding RNA, 316 nt
Organism: Mustela putorius furo (domestic ferret)
Lineage: Eukaryota; Metazoa; Chordata; Mammalia; Carnivora; Mustelidae
Gene: 7SK
Rfam family: 7SK RNA
About the family: 7SK was discovered as an abundant small nuclear RNA in the mid-70s but a possible function has only recently been suggested. Two independent studies have found that 7SK RNA binds the CDK9/cyclin T complex (known as elongation factor P-TEFb).
Source: Ensembl
GGAUGUGAGGGCGAUCUGGCUGCGACAUCUGUCACCCCAUUGAUCGCCAGGGUUGAUUCGGCUGAUCUGGCUGGCUAGGCGAUGUCCCCUUCCUCCUGCACCGCUCCAUGUGCAUCCCUCCCGAAGCUAUGCACUCGGUCGAAGAGGACGACCUUCCCCGAUAGAGGAGAGGACCGUUCUUCGGUCAAGGGUAUACGAGUAGCUGCGCUCCCCUGCUAGAACCUCCAAACAAGCUCUCAAGGAACAGGAAGGCAUAUGAAGGUGCAAAUGUUACUAUGAAGGUGCAUCUAUACAUUUAUAAAAGUUUAAUGGUUAU